This 756-nucleotide ribosomal RNA is filed under the name uncultured Arcobacter sp. RNAcentral describes it as "bacterial SSU rRNA". It matches the Rfam family "Bacterial small subunit ribosomal RNA", at positions 98 to 873 of the family's 1533-position model. Lineage: Bacteria; Pseudomonadati; Campylobacterota; Epsilonproteobacteria; Campylobacterales; Arcobacteraceae. The record is from RNAcentral.
GCGGACGGGUGAGUAAUAUAUAGUUAACCUGCCCUCGAGAAAGGAAUAACAGUUGGAAACGACUGCUAAUGCCCUAUAUGCCUUUAAGACAUAAGUCUGCAAGGGAAAUGCUUUUGUGCUCGAGGAUGGGACUGUACGGUAUCAGAUAGUUGGUGGGGUAAUGGCCUACCAAGUCAAUGACGCCUAACUGGUUUGAGAGGAUGAUCAGUCACACUGGAACUGAGACACGGUCCAGACUCCUACGGGAGGCAGCAGUGGGGAAUAUUGCACAAUGGAGGAAACUCUGAUGCAGCAACGCCGCGUGGAGGAUGACACAUUUCGGUGCGUAAACUCCUUUUAUAUAGGAAGAUAAUGACGGUACUAUAUGAAUAAGCGCCGGCUAACUCCGUGCCAGCAGCCGCGGUAAUACGGAGGGCGCAAGCGUUACUCGGAAUCACUGGGCGUAAAGAGCGUGUAGGCGGAUAGAUAAGUCAGAAGUGAAAUCCUAUGGCUCAACCAUAGAACUGCUUUUGAAACUGUUUAUCUAGAGUGUGGGAGAGGUAGAUGGAAUUUCUGGUGUAGGGGUAAAAUCCGUAGAGAUCAGAAGGAAUACCGAUUGCGAAGGCGAUCUACUGGAACAUAACUGACGCUGAGACGCGAAAGCGUGGGGAGCAAACAGGAUUAGAUACCCUGGUAGUCCACGCCCUAAACGAUGUACACUAGUUGUUGUGAGGCUUGACCUUGCAGUAAUGCAGUUAACACAUUAAGUGUACCGCC